RNAcentral lists this ribosomal RNA (301 nucleotides) under uncultured bacterium. Its description in RNAcentral is "partial 16S ribosomal RNA". It matches the Rfam family "Bacterial small subunit ribosomal RNA", at positions 509 to 809 of the family's 1533-position model. The record is from RNAcentral.
CAGCAGCCGCGGUAAUACAGAGGGUGCGAGCGUUAAUCGGAUUUACUGGGCGUAAAGCGUGCGUAGGCGGCUUUUUAAGUCGGAUGUGAAAUCCCUGAGCUUAACUUAGGAAUUGCAUUCGAUACUGGGAAGCUAGAGUAUGGGAGAGGAUGGUAGAAUUCCAGGUGUAGCGGUGAAAUGCGUAGAGAUCUGGAGGAAUACCGAUGGCGAAGGCAGCCAUCUGGCCUAAUACUGACGCUGAGGUACGAAAGCAUGGGGAGCAAACAGGAUUAGAUACCCCUGUAGUCCUGUCUCUUAUACA